GAUGAAGAACGCAGCGAAAUGCGAUAAGUAAUGUGAAUUGCAGAAUUCAGUGAAUCAUCGAAUCUUUGAACGCACAUUGCGCCCAUUAGUACUCUAGUGGGCAUGCCUGUUCGAGCGUCAUUUCAACCCUCAAGCCUUAGUUGCUUGGUGUUGGGAGCUUAUCUUGCCGAAAGGCGGGACAACUCCUUAAAUUUAUCGGCGGAGUCGCGGUGACCCCAAGCGUAGUAAAUUAUUUUUUCCUCGCUUUAGGUGUUAACGCUGGCUUUUCUAGCCGUUAAACCCCCCCUAAUAUUUUAAUGGUUGACCUCGGAUCAGGUAGGACUACCCGCUGAACUUAAGCAUAUCAAUAAGCGGAGGA
RNAcentral lists this unclassified non-coding RNA (358 nucleotides) under soil metagenome. RNAcentral's name for it is "partial contains 5.8S ribosomal RNA, internal transcribed spacer 2, and large subunit ribosomal RNA". The stretch from base 1 to 120 matches the Rfam family "5.8S ribosomal RNA", at positions 35 to 154 of the family's 154-position model. The record is from RNAcentral.